GAUCCUGGCUCAGAUUGAACGCUGGCGGCAUGCUUUACACAUGCAAGUCGAACGGCAGCACGGAGAGCUUGCUCUCUGGUGGCGGGUGGCGCACGGGUGAGUAAUACAUCUGAACGUGUCCUGUUGUGGGGGACAACCGGUCGAAAGACCGGCUAAUACCGCAUAAGACCUGAGGGUGAAAGCGGGGGAUCGCAAGACCUCGCGCAAUUGGAGCGGCCGAUGCCCGAUUAG
RNAcentral lists this ribosomal RNA (231 nucleotides) under uncultured bacterium. Its description in RNAcentral is "partial 16S ribosomal RNA". It matches the Rfam family "Bacterial small subunit ribosomal RNA", at positions 15 to 244 of the family's 1533-position model. The record is from RNAcentral.